GCUGAAAGAAUUCUCCCGAUAAUCUGGAUUCAAGUCAACUGACAGGUAAAUGGAUGGAACUAGAAAAUAUCAUCCUGAGUGAGGUAACCCAGACUCAGAAGGACAAACAUGGUAUGUACUCACUCAUAAGUGGAUACUAGAAGUAAAGCAAAGAAUAACCAGACUACAACCCACAGCUCUGGAGAAGCUAGAGCCUUCAUCUAGUACCUGAUGGAAACAGAUGCAGAGAGCCACAGCCAAGCAUCAAGCCAAGCUCUGGAUGUCCAGUCGAAGAGAGAGAGGGAAGAGGGAUUCUAUGAGCAAGAGGCAUCAGACCAUGAUGCAGAAAGUUACAGAGACAACUGAACCAAGCUAGUGGGAACUCAUGAACUUUAGACCAACAACUGUAGAGCCUGCAUGGGACUGAACUGGGCCCUCUGCAUGGUAGCUGGGCUGUAGCCUGCAGGAGGUGUGUCUGUAAAAUCUAGGCACCGUGGAAAACACAGCAAGAUCAACACAGCCACUCAGACAUUCUGCAUGAAAGCAACAUUCACUGAUUUUAUGCAUAUGUGGAAGAACCUGUAAAGAGAAACUUUUCUUCUUUUGAGACUAGUGUCUAGAUACAAGGCUGUGAGUAGACACCUCUUUAUGGAGCGAUACAGUUUUGGAAUUUGGCUUCAUGUUUUCCAGCAGCAUAUGGAGACCAUUACACUGGACACCACUGGACAAAACGUGGGGAUCCCAGUCCCAAUGGAUACAACUAUAGUGGAGCUUCUGCAUCCAUGGCUCAGGGAACAUUGUGGAAGAGGGAGCAAAAAGAUCCUAAGAACCAGAGAGACAGGAAGUCUGCAUUGACUAUCACUACACUCUCCAGUUAUAUCACAGUAAAUAAAUAAGAGCAAUGUGCAUCA
Molecule: long non-coding RNA, 890 nt
Organism: Peromyscus eremicus (cactus mouse)
Lineage: Eukaryota; Metazoa; Chordata; Mammalia; Rodentia; Cricetidae
Exons: 5
Source: RefSeq, a predicted model, not a curated record